Mesocricetus auratus (golden hamster) is the source of this 73-nucleotide non-coding RNA. The record is from Rfam. NCBI's taxonomy places the organism in Eukaryota, Metazoa, Chordata, Mammalia, Rodentia, Cricetidae.
GCCUGGUUAGCUCAGUCUAUAGAGCAUGAGACUCUGAAUCUCAGGGUCAUGGGUUCAUGUCCCAUGUUGGGUG